Amphiprion ocellaris (clown anemonefish) is the source of this 1520-nucleotide long non-coding RNA. The record is from Ensembl. NCBI's taxonomy places the organism in Eukaryota, Metazoa, Chordata, Actinopteri, Pomacentridae.
AUCAGAGCGCCACAGCUAAUAACUUAGAUGUUUUUCACAGUCGGUGGAGAGUUUCACACAAGGUAUGGUUUUAUUUUGACAUUGUAAUUCAAAGGUCCAGAUUUUUUGACUUAGCUGAGAACACAUGUAAAUAUGCAUUUUCUAGAUAUUUACAAACAAGAACUUUGGGAACGCCUCAAUUUUGUAGAAGCUGUUCAAAGAAGAGGUAUGCCCUUUUUAAUUAUGCAAAGUCACAAAAAAUAAUAAAUCUAGAAAUGGACAACAACCUGAUUGGUAGUUGCAGCAUCUUGUUGUAACUUUUUAGAUGUUUUUUUUUCUUUUUUUAAGAUUGUGUCUGGCUGAUUUGGCAGAGGAGAAAUUUAUGUUGCAGCUGUUACAAGACAACUUCUUUCACUGUACAAUACAUAUUUUUAAAGUACAUGUUGCUGGAUUUGUCCCUUUUCUGUUUUCUCAUUACUUCACAGUUGUACAACAAUCAUCAUGGAUUUAUUUUUAAAUGUGAAGUCUUGUUUUCUUUUCAUGCAUGUUGAGAUGACCUGAUUGGUUUUUAUCCCUGUUUUUAUCAGUUUGUAUUGAUUUAUGGAUAGAUAAAAAAAAGAAAAAAAAAAGCUUUUGUUCAACCUACAGAGACAAAUUUUGGUAUAUUAUUUGAUGUGUACAAUAACUUGUGACAUUAUCAACAAAACUAUUAUACUAUUUUACUAAUGUGUCAAUCAAAUAUGUAAUGGUCAUGUAAGUUCUUUUUUUUUUCUGCAGUUUCUUAGCAGGGCUAAAGCUGAGGUUGCUCCCUGGUGUGUAUCAGAUUUUUAAAGCUUUGGAUUUGUUCAUUUGGGGAAUCAGUUUUUCACAAAGCAGUCAUUGGCUAAUCUCUGAAGUUGUGCAAUACUAAUAUUUCACCGCUUCUUCAGCUACGGUUUUAUUUAUUUUUUUGAAGCAGAGGAGAUUGAGCCAAAGACAUUUUAAAGGGAUUUUAUUUUCAACUUUUCUUUAUUGCUGGUUUGCUUUUAAUGCUUCACUUUUUGCCCUGUCAAGAAUCGUUCCAAAAAGGAAAAAAAUCUCCAUGUUUGUUAGUAAACUGAGGGUCUUUACACGAUUUUAAAGAUUUUAACUUCCCAACCUUGACCUGUAUAUGAAUUUAAUAUGUUCCCGGAAGCCUUCUGUCUUGCCUUUAAAGAAAAGCGGUGAAACCAACUCGUGUGUGGCGCAUGGAAAGGGAGCAACCUUUUGCCCAGCUAGCAGAGAGCACUGUGUUCAGCCUUCUAUAAACGCCAUCUUUUCCUGUUAUCUGUUGGCUCUCCUCUGUUUUUCCCUUUGCUGCAGUAAAUCAAUGGCACACCUGUUCCCCCAGCUUCCCAGUCCCAUCGGUUUCUCCCUCGUGGGUACAAAAAUAAUGAAUAGAUCUGUUUUACUCUUCUUCAUUUCAGUUGGUGGUGGUUAUAAUAAAGGAUUUAGACUGUGUUUUAAAGGUUUAUUUUCUUUUUUAUUUGUUUCUCUAUUAAAGUGUUUUUAUUGAAACCGCU